This 330-nucleotide ribosomal RNA is filed under the name uncultured bacterium. RNAcentral's name for it is "bacterial SSU rRNA". It matches the Rfam family "Bacterial small subunit ribosomal RNA", at positions 568 to 898 of the family's 1533-position model. The record is from RNAcentral.
CGUGUAGGCGGGUCUUUAAGUCAGGGGUGAAAUGCCAAGGCUCAACCUUGGAACUGCCUUUGAUACUGGAGACCUUGAGUCCGGGAGAGGUGAGUGGAAUUGCGAGUGUAGAGGUGAAAUUCGUAGAUAUUCGCAAGAACACCAGUGGCGAAGGCGGCUCACUGGCCCGGAACUGACGCUGAGACGCGAAAGCGUGGGGAGCAAACAGGAUUAGAUACCCUGGUAGUCCACGCUGUAAACGAUGGAUGCUAGCCGUUGGGGAGCUUGCUCUUCAGUGGCGCAGCCAACGCUUUAAGCAUCCCGCCUGGGGAGUACGGUCGCAAGAUUAAA